Molecule: ribosomal RNA, 749 nt
Filed under: uncultured fungus
Lineage: Eukaryota; Fungi
Description: SSU rRNA
Rfam family: Eukaryotic small subunit ribosomal RNA
Source: RNAcentral
ACGGCUACCACAUCCAAGGAAGGCAGCAGGCGCGCAAAUUACCCAAUCCCGAUCCGGGGAGGUAGUGACAAUAAAUACUGAUACAGGGCUCUUUUGGGUCUUGUAAUUGGAAUGAGUACAACCUAAAUCCCUUAACGAGGAACAAUUGGAGGGCAAGUCUGGUGCCAGCAGCCGCGGUAAUUCCAGCUCCAAUAGCGUAUAUUAAAGUUGUUGCAGUUAAAAAGCUCGUAGUUGAACCUUGGGCCUGGCUGGCCGGUCCGCCUCACCGCGAGUACUGGUCCGGCUGGGCCUUUCCUUCUGGGGAACCCCAUGGCCUUCACUGGCUGUGGCGGGGAACCAGGACUUUUACUGUGAAAAAAUUAGAGUGUUCAAAGCAGGCCUUUGCUCGGAUACAUUAGCAUGGAAUAAUAGAAUAGGACGUGCGGUUCUAUUUUGUUGGUUUCUAGGACCGCCGUAAUGGUUAAUAGGGAUAGUCGGGGGCGUCAGUAUUCAGCUGUCAGAGGUGAAAUUCUUGGAUUUGCUGAAGACUAACUACUGCGAAAGCAUUCGCCAAGGAUGUUUUCAUUAAUCAGGGAACGAAAGUUAGGGGAUCGAAGACGAUCAGAUACCGUCGUAGUCUUAACCAUAAACUAUGCCGACUAGGGAUCGGGCGGUGUUUCUAUGAUGACCCGCUCGGCACCUUACGAGAAAUCAAAGUUUUUGGGUUCUGGGGGGAGUAUGGUCGCAAGGCUGAAACUUAAAGAAAUUGA